This 483-nucleotide ribosomal RNA is filed under the name uncultured bacterium. Its description in RNAcentral is "partial 16S ribosomal RNA". It matches the Rfam family "Bacterial small subunit ribosomal RNA", at positions 30 to 507 of the family's 1533-position model. The record is from RNAcentral.
UUGAACGCUGGCGGCAGGCCUAACACAUGCAAGUCGAGCGGAUGAAGGGAGCUUGCUCCUGGAUUCAGCGGCGGACGGGUGAGUAAUGCCCAGGAAUCUGCCUGGUAGUGGGGGAUAACGUCCGGAAACGGGCGCUAAUACCGCAUACGUCCUGAGGGAGAAAGUGGGGGAUCUUCGGACCUCACGCUAUCAGAUGAGCCUAGGUCGGAUUAGCUAGUUGGUGGGGUAAAGGCCUAUCAAGGCGACGAUCCGUAACUGGUCUGAGAGGAUGAUCAGUCACACUGGAACUGAGACACGGUCCAGACUCCUACGGGAGGCAGCAGUGGGGAAUAUUGGACAAUGGGCGAAAGCCUGAUCCAGCCAUGCCGCGUGUGUGAAGAAGGUCUUCGGAUUGUAAAGCACUUUAAGUUGGGAGGAAGGGCAGUAAGUUAAUACCUUGCUGUUUUGACGUUACCAACAGAAUAAGCACCGGCUAGCUUCGUG